Molecule: long non-coding RNA, 838 nt
Filed under: Homo sapiens (human)
Lineage: Eukaryota; Metazoa; Chordata; Mammalia; Primates; Hominidae
Description: PREDICTED lncRNA (TCONS_00221847)
Source: RNAcentral
CCUUGCUUCCACCCCUGGCCUCCCAUGCUCAGCCAUCCUAAACCACUAAAGCCCUAGACCAUCCAUCUGGCUCCUCUACUUGGGUACAUCUGACCCUGUGUCCUGGAGGGCACCAAUUCUGACACCUUCAGGGUCAAGGGGCCUCCCUGUUUGGUGCUGCCCCACCCCCAACCCUGUCAGCUCUAGAAUCCUCUCUUCCACAGUGCUGAUCACACUGGGUCCCGCUGUUCCCACGUCUGCCUCCCUACCAGACUGAGCUCCAAGCUGCCAGGGGCCUCGUCUCCAUCUGGGUCCCAGUUCCCACCAUAGAGCUGGGCAUGGAGGACAGCUCAGGGAAGCUUCUUGGGAAAUGAAUUCUGGGAGUUCCCUCUGCCAAGGACCCACUGUGUUAAGAGCUUUAAGUCCCCCUUCCUCCCAGGUGAAUGUCCACUUCGAGGCCGGCUCAACCACCGUCUUCAGAGAACUCUCCCACACUGGCCACAGCCUAUCUGCCAGCGUCACCCACUGUCUAGGUCUUUGCCCAUAAUGUGUCAAGGGCAAAACAGAGGGGUGGAUAUGAUGCACGUGCCUCAGCCCGGGGCCCGUACAUGGCUGGCGUCCAGGUAACGCAGGCCUGGGGCAGACAUUCCUUACACAGCUCCCACCCUACUCUUACGUCCACAUUUAGGCAGCCAGGCCACCUUAGCCUUGGAGGGGAGGACACCAACGGGGCCCGCCUUACCAGCAGUCAGAAACAGACCCACAUCCCAGUGGGUACCCAAGGCUUCUUUCCUUAGGCCCCAUCCCAUUUAGGAAGUUGGGAAACCCACUGGGUGAGCCCAAAGGCUACCAAAGCCUG